This 526-nucleotide ribosomal RNA is filed under the name Papilio machaon (common yellow swallowtail). RNAcentral's name for it is "partial 16S ribosomal RNA". Lineage: Eukaryota; Metazoa; Arthropoda; Insecta; Lepidoptera; Papilionidae. The record is from RNAcentral.
UYCSCCYKKUUUUUCAAAAACAUGUYUUUUUGGAAAUAAUUUAAAGUYUAAUYUGCCCACUGAUAAAUAUAUUAAAGGGCUGCAGUAUUUUGACUGUACAAAGGUAGCAUAAUCAUUAGUYUYUUAAUUGGUGACUUGUAUGAAAGAUUGGAUGAAAUAUAAACUGUCUYUAAUUAAUUUAUAAAAUUUAAUUUUUUAGUAAAAAAGCUAAAAUAAUUUUAAAAGACGAGAAGACCCUAUAGAGUUUUAUAAUUUAUUUGAUUAUUAUUAAUAUGUAAAUUUUAAAAUUAAAAUUAAAUAAAUUAUUUUGUUGGGGKGACAGAAAAAUUAAAUUAACUUUUUUAAAUAAUUAACAUUAAUUUAUGAAUAAAUGAUCCAUUAAUAUUGAUUAAAAGAAAAAAUUACCUUAGGGAUAACAGCGUAAUUUUUUUUUUUAGUUCAAAUAGGAAAAAAAGUUUGCGACCUCGAUGUUGGAUUAAGAUAAAAUUUAAAUGCAAAAGUUAAAAUUUGAUCGUCGAUCUUCGUC